ACGGGUGAGUAACGCGUGGGAAUCUACCGUACCCUACGGAAUAGCUCUGGGAAACUGGAAGUAAUACCGUAUACGCCCUUCGGGGGAAAGAUUUAUCGGGGUAUGAUGAGCCCGCGUUGGAUUAGCUAGUUGGUGGGGUAAAGGCCUACCAAGGCGACGAUCCAUAGCUGGUCUGAGAGGAUGAUCAGCCACAUUGGGACUGAGACACGGCCCAAACUCCUACGGGAGGCAGCAGUGGGGAAUAUUGGACAAUGGGCGCAAGCCUGAUCCAGCCAUGCCGCGUGAGUGAUGAAGGUCUUAGGAUUGUAAAGCUCUUUCACCGGAGAAGAUAAUGACGGUAUCCGGAGAAGAAGCCCCGGCUAACUUCGUGCCAGCAGCCGCGGUAAUACGAAGGGGGCUAGCGUUGUUCGGAAUUACUGGGCGUAAAGCGCACGUAGGCGGGUAUUUAAGUCAGGGGUGAAAUCCCAGAGCUCAACUCUGGAACUGCCUUUGAUAUUGGGUAUCUUGAGUAUGGAAGAGGUAAGUGGAAUUGCGAGU
RNAcentral lists this ribosomal RNA (537 nucleotides) under uncultured bacterium. RNAcentral's name for it is "bacterial SSU rRNA". It matches the Rfam family "Bacterial small subunit ribosomal RNA", at positions 102 to 674 of the family's 1533-position model. The record is from RNAcentral.